GACGAGGUGCACAAACGUUAUUCGGAAUUACUGGGCUUAAAGCGUGCGUAGGCGGCCUAGCAAGUCGGGUGUGAAAGCCCUCGGCUCAACCGGGGAAGUGCACCCGAAACUGCAAAGCUAGAGUCUCGGAGAGGAUCGUGGAAUUCUCGGUGUAGAGGUGAAAUUCGUAGAUAUCGAGAGGAACACCGGUGGCGAAGGCGGCGAUCUGGACGAUGACUGACGCUGAGACGCGAAAGCGUGGGGAGCAAACAGG
RNAcentral lists this ribosomal RNA (253 nucleotides) under uncultured bacterium. Its description in RNAcentral is "partial 16S ribosomal RNA". It matches the Rfam family "Bacterial small subunit ribosomal RNA", at positions 524 to 776 of the family's 1533-position model. The record is from RNAcentral.